Molecule: ribosomal RNA, 128 nt
Filed under: Strombidium inclinatum
Lineage: Eukaryota; Ciliophora; Spirotrichea; Strombidiidae
Description: partial Bacterial small subunit ribosomal RNA
Source: RNAcentral
UUAUGAGUUUGACUGUGGCUCGGAAUGAACGCGGGCGAUAUGUUUUGACACAUGCGAAUUGUACGUAAAUUUUUAUUAAAUUUAAGUAGUGCAAGGGUGAGUAAUGCAGUUAUUGUUAUCAGUAAGAU